GGUGGACGCCCUGGGCCGUUGCUGCCCCCGGACGCCAGUGGGGGAAGAAGGGUCUCCGAGGCUCAAGUGCACCGAGGCCCCAGCCACCCUUUGCGACGUCGCCGCAGGCUUCGGGAACAAUAGAUGUGGUUUGGGUUGGUUUCGCCCAGACCUGGUGGUGCCUCGGUUAGGGUGGCCAACAGGCCCGGCCCUAAUCUACGUCUCGAAGUCUGCGUGCCCCUCGGCUGGAGAAGCAGAAGCGCGGACGCCGGAAAGAGCCGCUGCUGGCCGUGGGGAAGAAAGUUCCCUCCUCACCCUCGGCCUCGGCCUGCGCCGCCCAAGUAGGGGUCUUUGAAGAAUGUGCAAAAUGUGGAAAUGCCACACCUCUGCGGGCAACAACGUUUGGCUCCUUGCCUAAGGAGAGAAACAGCCCUUCCCUGAGGUGUUGGAUGAACGACAGCGUCAUCAUUUGAAUCCCAGCAAGAGCAAAAGGAAGAAAAUAAACCAGUCACUAUCUCAAAGAUGCUGUCCUGCCAUCCUCCAGCUCCAUGAAGCCCUCUGCGACCCACUGACACAGGAAGUGUGUGGCCCCUCCUGGUGCAAAGAUAGCAGCACAGCAAGCCCACCACCCUACAAGCCCACAGGGCACCGGGCACCGGGCACACUGAAUCCAU
This is a long non-coding RNA of Balaenoptera acutorostrata (minke whale), 653 nucleotides long. RefSeq lists it as uncharacterized. NCBI's taxonomy places the organism in Eukaryota, Metazoa, Chordata, Mammalia, Artiodactyla, Balaenopteridae. The record is from RefSeq and is a predicted model, not a curated record. The transcript has 4 exons.